GCACAAGCGGUGGAGCAUGUGGUUAAUUCGAAGCAACGCGAAGAACCUUACCAGGUCUUGACAUCCCGAUGCUAUUCUAGAGAUAGAAAGUUACUUCGGUACAUCGGUGACAGGUGGUGCAUGGUUGUCGUCAGCUCGUGUCGUGAGAUGUUGGGUUAAGUCCCGCAACGAGCGCAACCCCUAUUGUUAGUUGCCAUCAUUCAGUUGGGCACUCUAGCGAGACUGCCGGUAAUAAACCGGAGGAAGGUGGGGAUGACGUCAAAUCAUCAUGCCCCUUAUGACCUGGGCUACACACGUGCUACAAUGGCCGGUACAAAGGGCAGCGACACAGCGAUGUGAAGCCAAUCCCGAAAAGCCGGUCUCAGUCCGGAUUGGAGUCUGCAACUCGACUCCAUGAAGUUGGAAUCGCUAGUAAUCGCGGAUCAGCACGCCGCGGUGAAUACGUUCCCGGGCCUU
RNAcentral lists this ribosomal RNA (456 nucleotides) under uncultured Streptococcus sp. Its description in RNAcentral is "bacterial SSU rRNA". It matches the Rfam family "Bacterial small subunit ribosomal RNA", at positions 923 to 1382 of the family's 1533-position model. The record is from RNAcentral. Lineage: Bacteria; Bacillati; Bacillota; Bacilli; Lactobacillales; Streptococcaceae.